This 492-nucleotide ribosomal RNA is filed under the name uncultured bacterium. RNAcentral's name for it is "partial 16S ribosomal RNA". It matches the Rfam family "Bacterial small subunit ribosomal RNA", at positions 29 to 507 of the family's 1533-position model. The record is from RNAcentral.
AGUGAACGCUGGCGGUAGGCCUAACACAUGCAAGUCGAACGGCAGCACAGUAAGAGCUUGCUCUUACGGGUGGCGAGUGGCGGACGGGUGAGGAAUACAUCGGAAUCUACUUUUUCGUGGGGGAUAACGUAGGGAAACUUACGCUAAUACCGCAUACGACCUACGGGUGAAAGCAGGGGAUCUUCGGACCUUGCGCGAUUGAAUGAGCCGAUGUCGGGUUAGCUAGUUGGCGGGGUAAAGGCCCACCAAGGCGACGAUCCGUAGCUGGUCUGAGAGGAUGAUCAGCCACAUUGGAACUGAGACACGGUCCAGACUCCUACGGGAGGCAGCAGUGGGGAAUAUUGGACAAUGGGCGCAAGCCUGAUCCAGCCAUACCGCGUGGGUGAAGAAGGCCUUCGGGUUGUAAAGCCCUUUUGUUGGGAAAGAAAAGCAGCAGGUUAAUACCCCGCUGUUCCGACGGUACCCAAAGAAUAAGCACCGGCUAACUUCGUG